This is a non-coding RNA of Hordeum vulgare subsp. vulgare (domesticated barley), 124 nucleotides long. The record is from Rfam. Lineage: Eukaryota; Viridiplantae; Streptophyta; Magnoliopsida; Poales; Poaceae.
CAUGUAUUCCUCCGUCCGAAAAUACUUGUCGUAAAAAUGAAUGUAUCUAGAUGUAUUUCAGUUUUAGAUACAUCCAAUUUUAUCAAUUUGUAUAACUAGUAAUUCUGAACGGAGGGAGCAUUUU